AGAAAGAGGAUGAAUCACUUUAUUUGCUUUGUUUAAUCUUUCAGAUUCCCUCAGGCUCCACACUUAAAGGGCAGCAAACAGGAGAAGAAAAAUAAGAUGAGGGAAGGAUGGUGAUUGGCCCCAGGACUGUCUCCUCGGCUUUAGAGUUAAGAAGAUCCCUCAAUCAGCCUGGAUCUAUAGCUAGGACUGAAGAGAAACUGGAAGAGAGAAUUCUGUGUGAGACACAGACACUAAGACAAAUGAUUUCUGCAUAUAAGGACAAUCGGGGACCAAGGAAAUGUGAUCUAGUGGAGAGGAACAGACCAUUUGUACUCAAGAUGGAGUUAUUCCAAGGCUAUACAGGCUUCCUGAGACACCUCAGAACAUGGAGGUUUCUUUCUUCAGAGUUAAUGUGGUACAUUUGUAAUAAACACUUGCUGGACUGAAGG
Molecule: long non-coding RNA, 428 nt
Filed under: Rattus norvegicus (Norway rat)
Lineage: Eukaryota; Metazoa; Chordata; Mammalia; Rodentia; Muridae
Description: long non-coding RNA NONRATT032342
Source: RNAcentral